GGGAGGGAGGGAGGGAGGGAGAAAGGAGAGUGUUCAUAGGAUAACUUAGCAGUAAGGACUCUAAGUCUGACCUCCUGAGUUUGGUUCUUAGAUCCCACAUGCUGGAAGGAGAACCAAUUCCUGAAAGUUAUCAUUUUACCUCUGCAUGUGUGCUGUAGAUUGUGAAUGCCUACAUGCACAGAAUAAAUAAAUGUAAAUAAAUUAAUGAAACAUAUAAACAUAUAAAAACUAACUUUAAAAAAGGUGUUACAUGUUUGUGAUCUUAGCACUUGAGGGCAGAGCAGGAGGGUCAGGACUAUCCUUGACUGUCCAGCAGAUUUACAGCCCACUUGGGCUGUGUAAGACCUCGACUCAAAUAAAUAACUUUUACAACAAUAGUUAAAAGCCAGGAUGGUGGGGUUGGGGAUUUAGCUCAGUGGUAGAGCGCUUGCCUAGCAAGCGCAAGGCUCUGGGUUCGGUUCCCAGCUCCGAAAAAAAAGAAAAAGAAAA
Molecule: long non-coding RNA, 489 nt
Filed under: Rattus norvegicus (Norway rat)
Lineage: Eukaryota; Metazoa; Chordata; Mammalia; Rodentia; Muridae
Description: long non-coding RNA NONRATT025466
Rfam family: tRNA (bases 402-470)
Source: RNAcentral